This 411-nucleotide ribosomal RNA is filed under the name uncultured prokaryote. Its description in RNAcentral is "bacterial SSU rRNA". It matches the Rfam family "Bacterial small subunit ribosomal RNA", at positions 505 to 918 of the family's 1533-position model. The record is from RNAcentral.
GUGCCAGCCGCCGCGGUAAUACGGAGGAUGCGAGCGUUAUCCGGAUUUAUUGGGUUUAAAGGGUGCGUAGGCGGGAAAAUAAGUCAGUGGUGAAAACCUGCAGCUUAACUGUAGACUUGCCAUUGAUACUGUUAUUCUUGAGUAUGGUCAAGGUAGGCGGAAUGUGUAAUGUAGCGGUGAAAUGCUUAGAUAUUACACAGAACACCGAUUGCGAAGGCAGCUUACUGGACCAUUACUGACGCUGAUGCACGAAAGCGUGGGGAUCGAACAGGAUUAGAUACCCUGGUAGUCCACGCCGUAAACUAUGAUCACUCGCUGUUAGCGAUACACAGUUAGCGGCUAAGCAAAAGCAUUAAGUGAUCCACCUGGGGAGUACGGCCGCAAGGCUGAAACUCAAAGGAAUUGACGGGG